Hypanus sabinus (Atlantic stingray) is the source of this 424-nucleotide long non-coding RNA. RefSeq lists it as uncharacterized. NCBI's taxonomy places the organism in Eukaryota, Metazoa, Chordata, Chondrichthyes, Myliobatiformes, Dasyatidae. The transcript has 3 exons. The record is from RefSeq and is a predicted model, not a curated record.
CUUAAGGCAUUAAGUCAUCACUGAAGAUCUUUAAGGUUACAAUGGACAAGAUGCUGUACAAUCUUCACAGAUAUAACAGUAGCCAUGUGUACAGGGGAAGAAAGCCUUUAGCAUUCCCCCCCGGAUGUGACAUUUAGCUUCAAUGAAUGACUCAACCUGCAGUUUUACCUUUUGGAAAUCCUGCCCGAGGACUCCCAAGACCUUCUAACCAUCCACAGUCCUGUGCUGGAGACUCUUGACCUGAAGACUAUAUCACUGGUUGAAGGUACGAGGAUGGCCACCUUCAUAUCGCAACGCAAUCACACAGCAGAACGUCACACAACAAAACAGAAUGUGGCUGUAGAGGUGUUGUCAGGGUCACCACAUGCUUCUCGAACCAGUGACUUUCCUCCAGAUACCACAAUCCGCAGCCUUCAAGUUCCCG